Molecule: long non-coding RNA, 1381 nt
Filed under: Strigops habroptila (Kakapo)
Lineage: Eukaryota; Metazoa; Chordata; Aves; Psittaciformes; Psittacidae
Description: lncRNA (ENSSHBG00005017925.1)
Source: RNAcentral
UAUAGCUGAAGCUGGAGCAGAAAACCAAGAUUUGGCCUUUCAAAUCUCCAGCUGGGAGGCCAGCAUAAAUUUAAUGAAUGCAUGCAUGUAAAUAAAACAAUAAGAAAUUUUGAAGAUUAUGAAAUGACUACAAAUAAAAAAAAAAAAGAGUAAUGCAGAUAUUAAUCUUCACAAAAGACAGAGAAGACAUAAAUUUUUACAUUAUUUGAGAAAAAUAAUAGACUCAUCUCUACAGUAAAACUUCCUCAAAACUAAUUGACACCUUAAGCAUUCACAAAUAAAUGUCACAGGCUCUAUUAAAAUUGCCUUAUCGCUAUUGAUUUUGUACAGAUGGUACUCAGAUUCGGUGGCAGCAAUUUUAAGAUAAGACUGAAAAGAUGAGAGAAAUUAAAGAGUAGGAUUGAGGGAUCCUUUUUUAUUCUGGAAAUUCAGUAAAUUAAUAUCUUGUCCUAAUGUUUUGACUGUUCAGGAAUGGUCCUAUUGAAGAAAAAUAUCACAUGUAAUAGCAAAUUAUUUGAAUGAGGUAGCACCAUGGAAGACUGAGGAACUCCAGAAAACAGCCAAGGUGAAUAGGCAGUCUAAUGGAAUGUAAAAUUCAUUAGUAACAGAUGAACAGAAGAAGUAGUAAGCUGAGGUACCCUAAGGGUUCCCAAGUGAAUUCAUUAAAUUAACUAUUACCAUAUAGUCAGGUAGAACAAUGAAUACAGGAGCGAUUUUUUUUUCAAGAAGAGGUUUAAAAAGUGCAACUGUUUCAUUUGGUCAGUAGAUGAAUAAAAAAAUUCCCUGUUAAAAGAUAAUGAUUGGUACAAGGAAGGUAAUUGAAUUGUGCUGACUGCUGCUUCUGGAAACAUAAGAGCAAAGAUACCUUUAAGAAAUGCAAAAGCCACAACAUUAUAAACACCAUAGGAAUUAAAUUCAUCUUUCUUUUCACAGUAUGUACACUUAAAUUCAGGAAUACAGGGCAUCACUGGUACUGAGGAGAAUUACUCAGAUAUCAAAUACUGUCUUUAUUUGCUUAUUCUUCCUGCCUUCUUUUCCAGGACAAACUGCAUUAAGUGCAGAUAUACUGGCAACUGUAGAUAAUGGGCCUUUAGUAGACAUGUCAUGCCUGUCUAGCUCCUUCUCAAAUUGAAGCUGCAUCUGUGUGUACAUAAACAUACAUAGAGAGAAUUAGUAAAAAUACAUUUGAUACAGCAUAAAUGCCAAUUAUCAGAGGAAAGCAAGCCUAAGUCAAAUGUAUACUAGGUGGUAAACAUGGGGGUGUUUUCUCAGUGCAUCUGCUGUGUAAUACAUGUGCCAUUUAUUCAUAUAAAGUUCUUAGCAGGUGUUUGAACUACUUUCUUUAACAAAGUGACUUAAAAUAAAACAUAAACUUUGGUUA